Molecule: ribosomal RNA, 208 nt
Filed under: uncultured bacterium
Lineage: Bacteria
Description: partial 16S ribosomal RNA
Rfam family: Bacterial small subunit ribosomal RNA
Source: RNAcentral
UUUACGGGAGGCAGCAGUCGGGAAUUUUGCCCAAUGGACGAAAGUCUGAGGCAGCAACUCCGCGUGAGGGACGAGGGCUCUAGGGUCGUAAACCUCUUUUCUCAGGGAAGAUCCAAGACGGUACCUGAGGAAUAAGCCCCGGCUAACUACGUGCCAGCAGCCGCGGUAAUACGUAGGUGGCAAGCGUUGUCCGGAUUUACUGGGCGUA